CUACGGGCGGCUGCAGUGGGGAAUAUUGCACAAUGGGCGCAAGCCUGAUGCAGCCAUGCCGCGUGUGUGAAGAAGGCCUUCGGGUUGUAAAGCACUUUCAGCGGGGAGGAAGGCGGUGAGGUUAAUAACCUCAUCGAUUGACGUUACCCGCAGAAGAAGCACCGGCUAACUCCGUGCCAGCAGCCGCGGUAAGAAGGAGGGUGCAAGCGUUAAUCGGAAUUACUGGGCGUAAAGCGCACGCAGGCGGGCUGUCAAGUCGGGGGUGAAAUCCCCGGGCUCAACCUGGGAACUGCAUUCGAAACUGUCAGGCUAGAGUCUUGUAGGGGGGGGUAGAAUUCCAGGGGUAGCGGGGAAAGUCGUAGAGAUCUGGAGGAACACCGGUUGCGAAGGCGGCCCCCUGGACAAAGACUGACGCUCAGGUGCGAAAGCGUGGGGAGCAAACAGGAUUAGAUACCCCGGUAGUC
This 464-nucleotide ribosomal RNA is filed under the name uncultured Klebsiella sp. Its description in RNAcentral is "bacterial SSU rRNA". It matches the Rfam family "Bacterial small subunit ribosomal RNA", at positions 339 to 795 of the family's 1533-position model. Lineage: Bacteria; Pseudomonadati; Pseudomonadota; Gammaproteobacteria; Enterobacterales; Enterobacteriaceae. The record is from RNAcentral.